GAAUUUAGUUGAGGUGGGCGGAAUACGUUAUGUAGCGGUGAAAUGCAUAGAUAUAACGUAGAACACCGAUUGCGAAGGCAGCUCACUAAGCUAACAUUGACGCUGAUGGACGAAAGCGUGGGGAGCGAACAGGAUUAGAUACCCUGGUAGUCCACGCCGUAAACGAUGAUUACUCGUUGUGCACGAUACACUGUGCGUGACUGAGCGAAAGCAUUAAGUAAUCCACCUGGGGAGUACGUUCGCAAGAAUGAAACUCAAAGGAAUUGACGGGGGCCCGCACAAGCGGAGGAACAUGUGGUUUAAUUCGAUGAUACGCGAGGAACCUUACCUGGACUUAAAUGUAGAUUGACCGGUUUAGAAAUAGAUCUUCCCUUCGGGGCAAUUUACAAGGUGCUGCAUGGUUGUCGUCAGCUCGUGCCGUGAGGUGUCGGGUUAAGUCCCAUAACGAGCGCAACCCCUAUCGUUAGUUGCUAGCAGGUAAUGCUGAGGACUCUAGCGAGACUGCCACCGUAAGGUGAGAGGAAGGUGGGGAUGACGUCAAAUCAGCACGGCCCUUACGUCCAGGGCUACACACGUGUUACAAUGGCCAGUACAAAGGGCAGCUACCUGGUGACAGGAUGCUAAUCUCUAAAGCUGGUCUCAGUUCGGAUCGGAGUCUGCAACUCGACUCCGUGAAGUUGGAUUCGCUAGUAAUCGUAGAUCAGCAAUGCUACGGUGAAUACGUUCCCGGGCCUUGUACACACCGCCCGUCAAGCCAUGGAAGCCGAGGGGACCUGAAGUUCGUAACCGCAAGGAGCGACCUAGGGUAAAAUUGGUAACUAGGGCUAA
RNAcentral lists this ribosomal RNA (828 nucleotides) under Bacteroidales bacterium. RNAcentral's name for it is "bacterial SSU rRNA". It matches the Rfam family "Bacterial small subunit ribosomal RNA", at positions 644 to 1484 of the family's 1533-position model. Lineage: Bacteria; Pseudomonadati; Bacteroidota; Bacteroidia; Bacteroidales. The record is from RNAcentral.